This 253-nucleotide ribosomal RNA is filed under the name uncultured bacterium. RNAcentral describes it as "partial 16S ribosomal RNA". It matches the Rfam family "Bacterial small subunit ribosomal RNA", at positions 524 to 776 of the family's 1533-position model. The record is from RNAcentral.
UACGUAGGGACCAAGCGUUGUUCGGAUUUACUGGGCGUAAAGGGCGCGUAGGCGGCAAUUCAAGUCAUCUGUGAAAUCUCCGGGCUUAACUCGGAACGGUCAGGUGAUACUGCUUUGCUAGAGUGCAGAAGGGGCAAUCGGAAUUCUUGGUGUAGCGGUGAAAUGCGUAGAUAUCAAGAGGAACACCUGAGGUGAAGACGGGUUGCUGGGCUGACACUGACGCUGAGGCGCGAAAGCUAGGGGAGCAAACGGG